GAGGGUAUAGCUCAGUGGUAGAGAGUGUGCUUAGUAUCCACGAUGUCCUGGGUUCAAUCCCCCAGUCCCUCCA
RNAcentral lists this transfer RNA (73 nucleotides) under Camelus bactrianus (Bactrian camel). It matches the Rfam family "tRNA". From Rfam's summary of the family: Transfer RNA (tRNA) molecules are approximately 80 nucleotides in length. Their secondary structure includes four short double-helical elements and three loops (D, anti-codon, and T loops). Further hydrogen bonds mediate the characteristic L-shaped molecular structure. tRNAs have two regions of fundamental functional importance: the anti-codon, which is responsible for specific mRNA codon recognition, and the 3' end, to which the tRNAs corresponding amino acid is attached (by aminoacyl-tRNA synthetases). tRNAs cope with the degeneracy of the genetic code in two manners: having more than one tRNA (with a specific anti-codon) for a particular amino acid; and 'wobble' base-pairing, i.e. permitting non-standard base-pairing at the 3rd anti-codon position. Lineage: Eukaryota; Metazoa; Chordata; Mammalia; Artiodactyla; Camelidae. RNAcentral also lists the same sequence under 1 other name. The record is from Rfam by way of RNAcentral.